GUGGCCAUAGUUCAGUUGGUAGAACUCGAGAUUGUGAUUCUCGUAGUCGAGGGUUCGAGUCCCUCUGGUCACC
This 73-nucleotide transfer RNA is filed under the name Erwinia phage FBB1. It matches the Rfam family "tRNA". Rfam says of the family: Transfer RNA (tRNA) molecules are approximately 80 nucleotides in length. Their secondary structure includes four short double-helical elements and three loops (D, anti-codon, and T loops). Further hydrogen bonds mediate the characteristic L-shaped molecular structure. tRNAs have two regions of fundamental functional importance: the anti-codon, which is responsible for specific mRNA codon recognition, and the 3' end, to which the tRNAs corresponding amino acid is attached (by aminoacyl-tRNA synthetases). tRNAs cope with the degeneracy of the genetic code in two manners: having more than one tRNA (with a specific anti-codon) for a particular amino acid; and 'wobble' base-pairing, i.e. permitting non-standard base-pairing at the 3rd anti-codon position. Lineage: Duplodnaviria; Heunggongvirae; Uroviricota; Caudoviricetes; Pantevenvirales; Straboviridae. The record is from Rfam by way of RNAcentral.